This 31-nucleotide non-coding RNA is filed under the name Homo sapiens (human). The record is from RNAcentral. Lineage: Eukaryota; Metazoa; Chordata; Mammalia; Primates; Hominidae.
AUGUCGGUCACAGAUGUCACUACAGAUCAGC